RNAcentral lists this ribosomal RNA (468 nucleotides) under uncultured bacterium. RNAcentral describes it as "partial 16S ribosomal RNA". It matches the Rfam family "Bacterial small subunit ribosomal RNA", at positions 28 to 507 of the family's 1533-position model. The record is from RNAcentral.
GACGAACGCUGGCGGCGUGCUUAACACAUGCAAGUCGAACGGAAAGGCCCUGCUUUUGUGGGGUGCUCGAGUGGCGAACGGGUGAGUAACACGUGAGUAACCUGCCCUUGACUUUGGGAUAACUUCAGGAAACUGGGGCUAAUACCGGCUAGGAGCUCCUGCUGCAUGGUGGGGGUUGGAAAGGUUCGGCGGUUGGGGAUGGACUCGCGGCUUAUCAGCUUGUUGGUGGGGUAGUGGCUUACCAAGGCUUUGACGGGUAGCCGGCCUGAGAGGGUGACCGGCCACAUUGGGACUGAGAUACGGCCCAGACUCCUACGGGAGGCAGCAGUGGGGAAUAUUGCACAAUGGGCGGAAGCCUGAUGCAGCAACGCCGCGUGCGGGAUGACGGCCUUCGGGUUGUAAACCGCUUUCGCCUGUGACGAAGCGUGAGUGACGGUAAUGGGUAAAGAAGCACCGGCUAACUACGUG